GAUGAAGAACGUAGCGAAAUGCGAUACGUAGUGUGAAUUGCAGAAUUCAGUGAAUCAUCGAAUCUUUGAACGCACAUUGCGCCCUUUGGUAUUCCAAAGGGCAUGCCUGUUCGAGCGUCAUUUGUACCCUCAAGCUUUGCUUGGUGUUGGGCGUUUUUGUCUUUGGCCCACCAAAGACUCGCCUUAAAAUGAUUGGCAGCCGGCCUACUGGUUUCGCAGCGCAGCACAUUUUUGCGCUUGCAAUCAGCAAAAGAGGACGGCAAUCCAUCAAGACUCCUUCUCACGUUUGACCUCGGAUCAGGUAGGGAUACCCGCUGAACUUAAGCAUAUCAAUAAGCGGAGGA
Molecule: unclassified non-coding RNA, 344 nt
Filed under: soil metagenome
Description: partial contains 5.8S ribosomal RNA, internal transcribed spacer 2, and large subunit ribosomal RNA
Rfam family: 5.8S ribosomal RNA (bases 1-120)
Source: RNAcentral